AUUGAACGCUGGCGGCAGGCCUAACACAUGCAAGUCGAGCGGAUGAAGGGAGCUUGCUCCUGGAUUCAGCGGCGGACGGGUGGGUAAUGCCUAGGAAUCUGCCUGGUAGUGGGGGAUAACGUCCGGAAACGGGCGCUAAUACCGCAUACGUCCUGAGGGAGAAAGUGGGGGAUCUUCGGACCUCACGCUAUCAGAUGAGCCUAGGUCGGAUUAGCUAGUUGGUGGGGUAAAGGCCUACCAAGGCGACGAUCCGUAACUGGUCUGAGAGGAUGAUCAGUCACACUGGAACUGAGACACGGUCCAGACUCCUACGGGAGGCAGCAGUGGGGAAUAUUGGACAAUGGGCGAAAGCCUGAUCCAGCCAUGCCGCGUGUGUGAAGAAGGUCUUCGGAUUGUAAAGCACUUUAAGUUGGGAGGAAGGGCAGUAAGUUAAUACCUUGCUGUUUUGACGUUACCAACAGGAUAAGCACCGGCUAACUUCGUG
Molecule: ribosomal RNA, 484 nt
Filed under: uncultured bacterium
Lineage: Bacteria
Description: partial 16S ribosomal RNA
Rfam family: Bacterial small subunit ribosomal RNA
Source: RNAcentral